UCCCUGGUGGUUCAGUGGUUAAGACUGCACUCCUAAUGCAGGGGGUUCAGGUUCAAUUCCUGGUCAGGGAA
This 71-nucleotide transfer RNA is filed under the name Ovis aries (sheep). It matches the Rfam family "tRNA". Rfam says of the family: Transfer RNA (tRNA) molecules are approximately 80 nucleotides in length. Their secondary structure includes four short double-helical elements and three loops (D, anti-codon, and T loops). Lineage: Eukaryota; Metazoa; Chordata; Mammalia; Artiodactyla; Bovidae. The record is from Rfam by way of RNAcentral.